GUGCUUGCUUCAGCAGCACAUAUACUAAAACUGGAAUGAUGCUGAGAAUAUUAGCAUGGCCCCUGCUCAAGGAUGACAUGCAAAUUUGUGAAGUGUUUCAUAUUAAA
Small nuclear RNA from Bos indicus x Bos taurus (hybrid cattle), 107 nucleotides. NCBI's taxonomy places the organism in Eukaryota, Metazoa, Chordata, Mammalia, Artiodactyla, Bovidae. The record is from Ensembl.